RNAcentral lists this long non-coding RNA (473 nucleotides) under Marmota monax (woodchuck). The record is from RNAcentral. Lineage: Eukaryota; Metazoa; Chordata; Mammalia; Rodentia; Sciuridae.
UUUCAUAUGUAGCUGCACACACAGAUUCUUACUGUCUCCACAAAGGUCAGAGAUUGUAAAUGGUCAAUACUGAUUUUUUUUUAAAUUCCCUUGACUCAAGACAGCUAACUUCAUUUUUAGAACUGUUUUAAACCUUUGUGUGCUGGUUUAUAAAACAAUGUGUGUAAUCCCUGUUGCUUUCCUGAUACCAGACUGUUUCCCGUGGUUGGUUAGAAUAUAUUUUGUUUUGAUGUUUAUAUUGGCAUGUUUAGAUGUCAGGUUUAGUCUUCUGAAGAUGAAGUUCAGCCAUUUUGUAUCAAACAGCACAACCAGUGUCUGUCACUUUCAGUGCAUAAAGUUUAGUGAGAUGUUCUGUGUAAGAUCUGAUUUGCUAGUUCUUCCUUGUAGAGUUAUAAAUGGAAAGAUUACACUAUAUGAUUAAUAAUUUCUUCAUACUCUGCAUAUAAUUUGUGGCUGAAGAAUAUUGUAAUUUG